This 1737-nucleotide long non-coding RNA is filed under the name Anas platyrhynchos platyrhynchos (common mallard). Its description in RNAcentral is "lncRNA (ENSAPLG00000020547.1)". The record is from RNAcentral. Lineage: Eukaryota; Metazoa; Chordata; Aves; Anseriformes; Anatidae.
UGCAUGCCGUAAUGAUCUGUGCUCUUCUCUCCUCAGGACCACGACUUCUUCCAGCACGUGGAGAUGCACUUGAGGUCGGAGCACCCCCCUCUCUGCGGGCGGGACCACCUCAGUUUCCGCUCCUACUACUUCCCAGUGAAGAAUGUGAUCGAUGGGGAUCUGUGCGAGCAGUUCAACUCGAUGGAGCCCAACAAGCAGAAGAACGUGGCCGAGGAGCUGGAUCGGACGCCCCCUGAGGUGUCCAAAAAGCUGGAGGACAUCCGCACGCGCUACGCCUUCUGAGCGGGAGUGGGGCUCGCCGCGCUCCGGGGGUGCUUCCCCGAGCACGCGGGGAGGGAGGAACGUUUGUGGGGUCAUUUUCAUUUUGGUUUUCUUCUUAAAACAGCGCUUCCUUCCCCUCAGUUCAUGUUCCAACCUCACAUGAUCCCACUGAGCAGCAGCCACCAGCUCUCCCCGUGCACCCCCCUGCUCCUUCGAGGGCUCCUGGUGUUCCGGCUGUCCUCUGGGGGAAGCGCUCCAGGAGGAGCAGCAGGCAGGGCCCGGCUCCGGGCCUCGCUGCGUUUCAUAACCCCUUUGGCAGGAGCCGCGGCUCCGCGCCGUGCCCCAGCAGCGCACGCAAUAAAAUAAAAGCCUGGUUUUGGUUUUUAACCGCUCCGACUCCGCCGCCUCUCCUUGGGGGUUUGGGGGGGGCUCUGCGACACCCCGGGGUGCCCCAUGAAGGGGGACAGGGGUUUGGUGGGGGCUCCCCCACCCCGCAGGGCAUUCCCCUUCCUGCCCCCGCUCUCCUGCGGUGCCUUCCUCCCGUACCAGCCUCAUCCUCACCUCGUCACCCUGCCCUUUGCCCCCUUCCCUUUGCACCCUCCCCUGCCUCCUCCCCACGCCUCCAUCUUACGGGGGGGGGGGGCGGGGGCUGCACCCUGGGGCUCCAGCACCCCAUAAAGGCCCCCCCCUUCCCCAGCACCCCACUUUCGGGGCAGGGAGGGCUCCCUGCUUCACCCCGGGGGGGGCUGCGGGCUCCAGCCUCGGUUUGGGACCCCCCCACCGAGCCCCCACUUGGGGGUCCCUUUCCCCGGGGGUCUCCCAGCACCGUGCCGAGGGGGGAACCGCCCCCGGGGUGCCCCCCCGGGGGUCUCAAGGACCCGGUGCCCCCCCCCGGGGCGUCGGGGGAGCGGGGCCGGGCCGGGGGGGGGCAGCUCCCGGCAGCCGCCGCCGCCCUGACUCGGUGCCAGGGGAAUCCCGGCGGCUCCGGCAGCGCCGCCCCGCUCCCAGCGCCGGGGGGGGGGGCCCCGGGGAAACGGGGGGGGAUCUGUGCCGGUCCCCCCCAUCGCCCCGAUCCCUCCCGUUACCGUUUUAGGGGGUCGGGGGGGGGGUCCGGCCCGGGUCCUCUCGGUUUUUGGGCACCCCCAGGGGCUCCGGGGAGGCGGGGAAGGGGGUGCCGGGCUCCGGGGGUUCCGUGCGCCCCCCCGCGCACGGUGCCCGGUGCCCGGUGCCGGUCCCGGUGCCGGCCCCGCCCGCUGCCGGCCCCGCCGCCGCCCCCCCGACCGCCUCCCGGGGAGCCCGGCACGGCCCCGCCGCCACCGGGAGGGACCGGGACGGGGACCGGGACCGGCACCGGGACAGGGACAGGGACAGGGACCGGCACCGGGACCGGCACCGGCAGCGCCAGGUGGGCACCGGGGCGCACCGGGGCGCACUGGGGGGCAUCAGGGGGGCACCGGGGGGGUAGGAGGGGGGCUC